ACGCUUGAAGUCAGUCACACUCUUUGGGAUUCAGCCUUGCUUGCUUCUGCUGCUCGGUUUACUUCCCAUCGGGUGGGUCAACAUCAGUUUUAGUCGGAGGAGAAAGACUUGGGGAAGGUAGCAGCAUUCGUGCUGUGUUAUAGACCCUUGUUGUAUACUUCGAUUGGGACUGAGGCCCGCAGCACGCCUUUGGCCGGGGUUUACCCACGUACGUGCUUAGGAUGUUGGCAUAAUGGCUUUAAGCGACCCGUCUUGAAACACGGACCAAGGAGUC
RNAcentral lists this ribosomal RNA (274 nucleotides) under uncultured Sebacina. RNAcentral describes it as "partial large subunit ribosomal RNA". It matches the Rfam family "Eukaryotic large subunit ribosomal RNA", at positions 419 to 675 of the family's 3401-position model. Lineage: Eukaryota; Fungi; Basidiomycota; Agaricomycetes; Sebacinales; Sebacinaceae. The record is from RNAcentral.